CUUCUUUGAGUGGAAAGCACUGAAUAUUAGUACUACUUUUUUAUCAGUUUUUUGUAAGAAGCAUCCUAGAGGUCAGAAUCUCACAAGUGCCACAAGAAUAGUGUUUCUCUUAUCAACUCAAUCAGUUUGUAAUUAAUUGGUGAUCGCCAAAUGCUUCUUGAACGUAGAUUCAUUGCAAAAUUGACAUUUUAGUACUGAUCGGUAUUUCAUUGGGUUCAAUCUGUGAAUUUUCCCUAUCUUUGUUCUGAAGACAUGAGUAUUGUCAUUACCAGAAAAUAUACUUUUUAUUGCCCGAAAUGAUAAUGAUCCUUUUUUGAUAUUUGAUGUACAGGCUAAUGUACAGAGUCUGUCUUCAACAAAUCUAGCACAGCACAACUUGUGGACAUGCAGACAAUUGUUCACAGUUCGGCUUUUCUAUAUGGUUUUAUUGAUUUAUUUUAUCAUUUUGCACAAAUUGAGUAGAUGAACAAAGGUAUCCAUGCACCGAGAGUUUUUCCUGGAAAAGGCAAGGAUUGCUGCAGAAUAGUUUGUUGUUCUAUAUAACCUAAUAAAAACAAAUCACGAUUUUGUAAGAUUUGCUGGAAGGAUGGAGAAAAAGGAGUGACAGAGAAUGAAUAAGGAAAAAAAAAUUAGCAGGUGACGGUCAAGACAGGGUACACAAGAUAGUUAAUUAGUCGUAAAGGAAAAUUAUGUAAAUUCCUAUAGAAAAAAAUGGGGCGGAUAGAUACAAGCUAGAGAGCACAUGUGGCUCGGAAAUCCAUACCUGAGAAAAUAAGUAACAGAAAAGGAAAGAAGUCGGUUUGAUGCUACUGAACCUUGUUGCUUGUAAAUAUUAUGUAUUUUGUUCAACUAUCAAAAAAAAAAAAAAAAAUAUUAUAUAUUUUGUUCGACUUGUAGAUGUAAAUCUUGAUAGUUUCCUUUUGAGUUGGGUAUAUAUAAUGGCAGUGCGCCAUCUUCUAUUGUUG
This 965-nucleotide long non-coding RNA is filed under the name Olea europaea subsp. europaea. The record is from RNAcentral. Lineage: Eukaryota; Viridiplantae; Streptophyta; Magnoliopsida; Lamiales; Oleaceae.